RNAcentral lists this ribosomal RNA (208 nucleotides) under uncultured bacterium. Its description in RNAcentral is "partial 16S ribosomal RNA". It matches the Rfam family "Bacterial small subunit ribosomal RNA", at positions 568 to 774 of the family's 1533-position model. The record is from RNAcentral.
CCAGUAGGCGGGCCAAUUAAGUCGGAUGUGAAAUCCCCAGGCUCAACUUGGGAACUGCAUCCGAUACUGGAUGGCUUGAAUUCGGGAGAGGGAUGCAGAAUUCCAGGUGUAGCGGUGAAAUGCGUAGAUAUCUGGAGGAAUACCGGUGGCGAAGGCGGCAUCCUGGACCGACAUUGACGCUGAACGGCGAAAGCUAGGGGAGCAAACG